RNA transcript from Carya illinoinensis, 2170 nucleotides. It is a transcript of the gene named leucine-rich repeat extensin-like protein 1, with no coding region annotated. The record is from RefSeq and is a predicted model, not a curated record. The transcript is spliced from 6 exons. Lineage: Eukaryota; Viridiplantae; Streptophyta; Magnoliopsida; Fagales; Juglandaceae.
GUGAGUGGCAACGCAGAAAUGCUCACCAUUCACACUUGUCUCUCACCUUCUUCGUCUCCAACCUGCGAAGCAGACGAAAGAGGGGGUUCCAGAUGCCCUGCAGAUGGGGAAAAGCGAACUGCAAAACCUGCAUCGGCAGCAGAAUCAUGAGGCUGACAGUAAUCAAGUUUCUUCGGGCUUUUUCCGUGACGGAUGUUCGGUGGCUCUCAAUAGAGUUGGAAGGGAGUUUAGUUUCAAGUGCCUCUUCGUUUUGAUUCUGACCCUAUCGGUUUUGGUUUCUGGGAUCUUCUGGGUCCUUCCUUUUCAUUCAACCAAGUGCGGGUUCGAUGCAAAAGAUGCAAUUAAACUCGGCGCUACAGUUCAGGCAUACUUCAGACUAGACAAGCCAGUUACAAAGCUUGUUCUCCACGUUGGAAGAUUAGAAUAUGAUAUCUACGGGGAAAUUGAUGUUCCUGGUAUAAAGGUGGCUAUCACAUCCAUGCACCAAUCUGGUGCAUCUAACUGGACUGAUGUGGUGUUUGGUGUUCUUUCUGAUCCAAUAAAUGUUCCUAUAAGUCCAGUGUCCCUAAGUUUGCUGAGAUCAUCUUUAAUUGAACUGUUCCUUCAGCAAUCCAAUCUGACCUUGACAUCAUCUAUUUUUGGGAAGACAACUAAGUUUCAGAUUCUGAAGUUUCCACCGGGGUUGACUGUAAUCCCAGUGCAAUUUUCUUCAAUUUGGCAGAUCCCCCAGAUUCUAUUUAAUUUUACUCUAAAUAAUUCGAUAUCUGAAAUACUGGAAGAUUUCAUCGAGUUCAAGGAUCAGUUGAAGAUAGGAUUGUAUCUGAGGUCUUACGAGAGUGUGUAUGUCCAGAUAACAAAUGAUGUUGGCUCCACAAUAGCUCCGCCGGUUACAGUUCAGGCUUCUGUCAUGUCUGGUCUUGGGAGUCUUCUGCCGCAGAGAUUGAAGCAAUUGGCUGAAACUAUCACAGGCUCUCCUGCACAAAAUCUUGGCCUUGAUAACACAGUUUUUGGUAAGGUUAAAAGCAUCAGUUUAUCUUCCUAUCUAAGGGGUACUAUUAAUGCUACCCCUCCUAGUCCUUCUCCAUCUCCAUCCUCAGAACCAAGUAAUUAUCCAUCAAUUUCGUCAUAUCCUGCUCUUUCUCCGCCUACCUCUCCAAUGUCCUCGCCUAACAUUAAGCACCGCUCACCUGCACCUUCUAUGGUAAUUGCGCAUCCUCCUUGCCCUUUCCCAUAUCAGGGUUUCAGAAAUUCUCCAAGCCUCUCACCUUCUCACUAUAACCCAACAGUUCCUUCUGCCUUUUCACCUUUGGUGUCAACUCCUAAUGCCCCUCCUACGGGUCCCACUUCCCAGUUGUCUCCAGAUCUGUCACCUAUACCUGAAGUAUCAUAUGCUUCCAGUCCACACCAGGACAAGGGAAGUGCCGAAGGCUUGUUGUCUACAUCCCUUGCACCAUCACCAUCAUAAGAGAAAGUGGGAAAGGAAAAGGAGGGGCUGGGGCUGGGGACUCUUACUUAAAAGCAAUUUACCAGAAACCCAUAGCUAGAUUACUGCUGACCCUCUCCUGAUCUACAAUCAACCAGACUCUUGGAUAAACCUUGGUAGCAGUUACUUCAUACCAGCAGAUCUGGUUAUUGGGGUUUUCUGGACUCUGGAUCUUUUCUCUCUUUUGUUGGUUGGCUUGAUAUUUAAUUUUCUUGACACAACCUAAAGAUAGUUUCCACGGCAUACAGACGCAACAGCUAAUAGUGACGUCCUUACACCCAGUUUUGUUCUCGCAAGGGGAGUAGAUGCUCCUCUGAAAAGUUUGACAGAUUUCCAUCCAAGAAACAUAAAUGUAAAAAGAAGAUACAUUGCAGGUCAAAGCCAGCAAAGGUGGCAGGCCUUUCAUUUAUUUUCUAGGUUUCCGAUGUUGCAAGAAACAAUGGUAAUGUUCUUCACAGGAAAAAGCUCCCAACGAUAGCAUGGCUAGUCGAGAAGAAAAAAAGGUUUGCAGAUUUCAAAAAGAACCAUCUCCACUCUUUAUCCGUUCUAAGUGUUAAAAAAAAAAAUGCUGGUUCCUUUUGUGCAUCUGCAGCAAAGCAGUGUUAUCCAUAAAUGUGAUAAAGCAGGGUUAUAUACUCUUGAAAAAGUAGGUUUAACUUUUAUAAAAUACAGAAUAUGAUUUUUGGA